AGGACGAACGCUGGCGGCGUGCUUAACACAUGCAAGUCGAGCGGAAAGGCCCUUCGGGGUACUCGAGCGGCGAACGGGUGAGUAACACGUGAGUAAUCUGCCUUCAGCUCUGGGAUAGCUCCGGGAAAACCGGGAUUAAUACCGGAUAUGACCACUUCGGACAUCUGUUGUGGUGGAAAGUUUUUCGGCUGGAGAUGAGCUCGCGGCCUAUCAGCUUGUUGGUGGGUAAAGGCCUACCAAGGCGACGACGGGUA
This 254-nucleotide ribosomal RNA is filed under the name uncultured bacterium. RNAcentral's name for it is "partial small subunit ribosomal RNA". It matches the Rfam family "Bacterial small subunit ribosomal RNA", at positions 26 to 285 of the family's 1533-position model. The record is from RNAcentral.